AUUGAAUUAAUAUGUCAAUUAGCAACAAAUGCAGUACAAUGGAAUACACGGGAUAAUAAUUGUUUUUCGCUUAUCCGAUUUAGUUGAAAGACAGUUUCGUACUGUGUAUUUCGUUCUUUACUGUAUUUGCUGAUACCGAAUGUUUUCAUCUGCAGCAUAUAUAUACCGCGGAAGAUGAACAAUCAUCCAACUUUCGUACAUCUCACUCCACAAAUAUCAAACUUGAAGACACGUUUUUUCAAUACUUUGUCGAAAACGCGAGUACAUAUAAAUAUGGCGAUGAGAUUUUCCUCAAUAGGUUUCUAUACAAACGAGCGCAAGGGAAAUUGUAUAAGAAACAUCAACGGUUUCAUGAGCAUAUUACAAAGACAAAACAGAUUAGAAGUAUGUUCGAUAUCAAGAAACAAUAUUUAACUGGCAGUAAUCAAGUUAACUGCAAAACUUAUUUUUGUUUCCAUAAAGGCAACCAUUAGCCGCGAAUUUCUCCUUCAUUUUGACCUGCAAAAAAGUUGUGGUGCAGUAUUGACAUCGAAUGAAUUGCAUGUUACUCCAAAGUGGCAUGUG
Pogonomyrmex barbatus (red harvester ant) is the source of this 564-nucleotide long non-coding RNA. Lineage: Eukaryota; Metazoa; Arthropoda; Insecta; Hymenoptera; Formicidae. The record is from RefSeq and is a predicted model, not a curated record.